AAAAAUUUAGUUAAAUUAUAACAUUAGUUUGUCAAACUAAAAUUAAUUAAUUAAAUAAUUAAUUUUUA
RNAcentral lists this transfer RNA (68 nucleotides) under Eusphalerum torquatum. Its description in RNAcentral is "tRNA-Asp". The record is from RNAcentral. Lineage: Eukaryota; Metazoa; Arthropoda; Insecta; Coleoptera; Staphylinidae.